UUGCUCGCUUCAGCAGCACAUAUACUAAAAUUGGAGCAAUACAGAGAUUAGCAUGGCCACUGUGCGAGGAUGACACGCAAAUUCAUGAAGAGCUCCAUAUUUUA
Molecule: small nuclear RNA, 104 nt
Organism: Delphinapterus leucas (beluga whale)
Lineage: Eukaryota; Metazoa; Chordata; Mammalia; Artiodactyla; Monodontidae
Source: Ensembl